CAGUAGCCACGGGAAUACGUAGGUGGCAAGCGUUGUCCGGAAUUAUUGGGCGUAAAGGGCUCGCAGGCGGUUUCUUAAGUCUGAUGUGAAAGCCCCCGGCUCAACCGGGGAGGGUCACUGGAAACUGGGAAACUUGAGUGCAGAAGAGGAGAGUGGAAUUCCACGUGUAGCGGUGAAAUACGUAGAGAUGUGGAGGAACACCAGUGGCGAAGGCGACUCUCUGGUCUGUAACUGACGCUGAGGAGCGAAAGCGUGGGGAGCGGACAGGAUUAGAUACCCCGGUAGUCCCUGUCUCUUAUAC
This 301-nucleotide ribosomal RNA is filed under the name uncultured bacterium. RNAcentral describes it as "partial 16S ribosomal RNA". It matches the Rfam family "Bacterial small subunit ribosomal RNA", at positions 509 to 807 of the family's 1533-position model. The record is from RNAcentral.